Molecule: ribosomal RNA, 468 nt
Filed under: uncultured bacterium
Lineage: Bacteria
Description: partial 16S ribosomal RNA
Rfam family: Bacterial small subunit ribosomal RNA
Source: RNAcentral
GACGAACGCUGGCGGCGUGCUUAACACAUGCAAGUCGAACGGAAAGGCCCUGCUUUUGUGGGGUGCUCGAGUGGCGAACGGGUGAGUAACACGUGAGUAACCUGCCCUUGACUUUGGGAUAACUUCAGGAAACUGGGGCUAAUACCGGAUAGGAGCUCCUGCUGCAUGGUGGGGGUUGGAAAGUUUCGGCGGUUGGGGAUGGACUCGCGGGUUAUCAGCUUGUUGGUGGGGUAGUGGCUUACCAAGGCUUCGACGGGUAGCCGGCCUGAGAGGGUGACCGGCCACAUUGGGACUGAGAUACGGCCCAGACUCCUACGGGAGGCAGCGGUGGGGAGUAUUGCACAGUGGGCGGAAGCGUGAUGCAGCAGCGCCGCGUGCGGGAUGACGGCCUUCGGGUUGUAAACCGCUUUCGCCUGUGACGAAGCGUGAGUGACGGUAAUGGGUAAAGAAGCACCGGCUAACUACGUG